GACGAACGCUGGCGGCGUGCUUAACACAUGCAAGUCGAACGGGCCUUGUCCCCUUUUUUUUUGGGGGUGGGGUUAGUGGCGAACGGGUGAGUAACACGUGAGUAACCUGCCCCUCACUUCUGGAUAACCGCUUGAAAGGGUGGCUAAUACGGGGUGUUCUGGCCUGCUCGCAUGGGUGGGUUUGGAAAGAUUCGACCGGUUUUGGUUGUUCUGGUGGGGGAUGGGCUCGCGGCCUAUCAGCUUGUUGGUGGGGUGAUGGCCUGCCAAGGCUUUGACGGGUAGCCGGCCUGUGAGGGGUGGCGGGCACACGGGGACUGAGACACGGCCCAGACCCCUAAGGGAGGCAGCAGUGGGGAAUAGUGCAGAAGGGGCGCAAGCCUGAUGCAGCGACGCCGCGUGAGGGAUGGAGGCCUUGGGGGUGAGAACCUCUUUCGGCAGGGAAGAAGGUCCUGCUCUUUGUGGUGGGGUUGACGGUAGCUGGGUUAAUGAAGCGCCGGCUAACUACGUG
Molecule: ribosomal RNA, 508 nt
Filed under: uncultured bacterium
Lineage: Bacteria
Description: partial 16S ribosomal RNA
Rfam family: Bacterial small subunit ribosomal RNA
Source: RNAcentral